This 332-nucleotide ribosomal RNA is filed under the name uncultured eukaryote. RNAcentral's name for it is "partial 18S ribosomal RNA". It matches the Rfam family "Eukaryotic small subunit ribosomal RNA", at positions 1470 to 1796 of the family's 1831-position model. The record is from RNAcentral.
CCCUUAGAUGUUCUGGGCCGCACGCGUGCUACACUGAUGCAUUCAACGAGUAAUCUUUGACCUUGGUCGACAGAUCUGGGUAAUCUUUUGAAAUUGCAUCGUGAUGGGGCUUGCGGGUUGCAAUUACCCGCACCAACGAGGAAUUCCUAGUAAACGCAAGUCAUCAACUUGCAUUGAUUACGUCCCUGCCCUUUGUACACACCGCCCGUCGCUCCUACCGAUUGAGCGGUCCGGUGAAGACUCAGGAGAUGGGCGCGUGCUUGGUUCGCCAACUGCGCUGCCUGCCAAAUUUGUCUAAACCUUAUCGCUUAGAGGAAGGAGAAGUCGUAACA